This 498-nucleotide ribosomal RNA is filed under the name uncultured bacterium. RNAcentral's name for it is "partial 16S ribosomal RNA". It matches the Rfam family "Bacterial small subunit ribosomal RNA", at positions 30 to 523 of the family's 1533-position model. The record is from RNAcentral.
AUUGAACGCUGGCGGCACGCCUUACACAUGCAAGUCGAACGGUAACAGGUCUUCGGAUGCUGACGAGUGGCGAACGGGUGAGUAAUACAUCGGAACGUGCCUAGUAGUGGGGGAUAACUACUCGAAAGAGUGGCUAAUACCGCAUGAGAUCUACGGAUGAAAGCAGGGGAUCGCAAGACCUUGUGCUACUAGAGCGGCCGAUGGCAGAUUAGGUAGUUGGUGGGAUAAAAGCUUACCAAGCCGACGAUCUGUAGCUGGUCUGAGAGGACGAUCAGCCACGCGGGGACUGAGCAACGGCCCAGACGCCUACGGGAGGCAGCAGUGGGGAAUUUUGGACAAUGGGCGCAAGCCUGAUCCAGCAAUGCCGCGUGCAGGAUGAAGGCCUUCGGGUUGUAAACUGCUUUUGUACGGAACGAAAAGCCCUGGGUUAAUACCCUGGGGUCAUGACGGUACCGUAAGAAUAAGCACCGGCUAACUACGUGCCAGCAGCCGCCGUAA